AUACGGAGGGUGCAAGCGUUAAUCGGAAUUACUGGGCGUAAAGGGCGCGUAGGCGGUCUAUCAAGUCAGGUGUGAAAUCCCACGGCUCAACCGUGGAGGUGCAUCUGAAACUGAUAGACUUGAGUAUGGGAGAGGAAAGUGGAAUUCCCGGUGUAGAGGUGAAAUUCGUAGAUAUCCGGAGGAACACCAGUGGCGAAGGCGACUUUCUGGACCAAUACUGACGCUCAGGCGCGAAAGCGUGGGGAGCAAACAGGAUUAGAUACCCUAGUAGUCC
This 274-nucleotide ribosomal RNA is filed under the name uncultured bacterium. RNAcentral's name for it is "partial 16S ribosomal RNA". It matches the Rfam family "Bacterial small subunit ribosomal RNA", at positions 523 to 796 of the family's 1533-position model. The record is from RNAcentral.